This is a small nuclear RNA of Molossus molossus (Pallas's mastiff bat), 107 nucleotides long. The record is from RefSeq and is a predicted model, not a curated record. NCBI's taxonomy places the organism in Eukaryota, Metazoa, Chordata, Mammalia, Chiroptera, Molossidae.
GUGCUCAUUUUGGCAGCACACAUACUAAAAUUGGAGUGGUACAGAGAGGAUUAGUAUGGCUCCUGAGCAAAGAUGACACUCAAAUUCAUGAAGAGUUAAAAAAAUUA